CCCAUAUUGACUAAUUAAAGGGAUGAUCAUAGGUUUACAAGUAAGAAAUACUAUCUUCAUUAGUACGAGGUCUUUUGAGAAACGAAAAGUAAAACUACGAGAACUUAUGCUCAAAGUAGAUAAUAUCGUACUAUUGUGGAAAAUAAUAUCCCUGCACACAAUUGACGCAUAUCUUCGAUGAAACUUACCAGGUUCAACACUCUAUCGUUGAUAUGAAGCCUCAAGAAAGGGUGGCAGAGGUAUGGAUCUGUAAUGGGUGGCCUACUUAAUGAUUCCUUUUGCUGGACCUUCAUUAAAUACUCCCUCCCUGCAAAAGUACAAAAGGGUAUGAUAAAUUAUCUUUUUUUUUUUUACCUUAAUGAUAUUGAUUAUGUACCAAGCAGUUCGUCAAUAUAAUGGAAUUCUGAAAUGAAAUUAAAUUGCAUAGAGAUUCUUGUCUUAUUUUAGACUCAUAUUUAGCUGGAAAAAUAUUGACCAAGCAAUUCGUGAA
Long non-coding RNA from Cucurbita maxima (winter squash), 490 nucleotides. RefSeq lists it as uncharacterized. The record is from RefSeq and is a predicted model, not a curated record. Lineage: Eukaryota; Viridiplantae; Streptophyta; Magnoliopsida; Cucurbitales; Cucurbitaceae. The transcript has 2 exons.